Ribosomal RNA from Lepisosteus oculatus (spotted gar), 120 nucleotides. The record is from Ensembl. Lineage: Eukaryota; Metazoa; Chordata; Actinopteri; Semionotiformes; Lepisosteidae.
UAUAGCACCCAUAUCACCCUGCAACUCACAAGUGGCAACCCACUGAAGCUAAGCAGGUGUGAGCCUGGUCAGUACCUGGAUGGGAGACCCCCUGGGAAAAACUUAAGGUUGCUGCUGGAA